Molecule: ribosomal RNA, 468 nt
Filed under: uncultured bacterium
Lineage: Bacteria
Description: partial 16S ribosomal RNA
Rfam family: Bacterial small subunit ribosomal RNA
Source: RNAcentral
GACGAACGCUGGCGGCGUGCUUAACACAUGCAAGUCGAACGGAAAGGCCCUGCUUUUGUGGGGUGCUCGAGUGGCGAACGGGUGAGUAACACGUGAGUAACCUGCCCUUGACUUUGGGAUAACUUCAGGAAACUGGGGCUCAUACCGGAUAGGAGCUCCUGCUGCAUGGUGGGGGUUGGAAAGUUUCGGCGGUUGGGGAUGGACUCGCGGCUUAUCAGCUUGUUGGUGGGGUAGUGGCUUACCAAGGCUUUGACGGGUAGCCGGCCUGAGCGGGUGACAGGCCACAUUGGGACUGAGAUACGGCACAGACCACAACGGGAGGCAGGGGUGGGGAGGAUUACACAAGAGGAGGGAGGCUGAUGCAGCAACGCCGCGUGCGGGAUGACAGCCUUCGGGUUGUAAACCGAUUUCGCCUGUGACGAAGCGUGAGUGACGGUAAUGGGUAAAGAAGCACCGGCUAACUACGUG